This 725-nucleotide ribosomal RNA is filed under the name uncultured bacterium. Its description in RNAcentral is "bacterial SSU rRNA". It matches the Rfam family "Bacterial small subunit ribosomal RNA", at positions 28 to 773 of the family's 1533-position model. The record is from RNAcentral.
AACGAACGCUGGCGGCGUGGAUAAGACAUGCAAGUCGAACGAGAGAAUUGCUAGCUUGCUAAUAAUUCUCUAGUGGCGCACGGGUGAGUAACACGUGAGUAACCUGCCCCCGAGAGCGGGAUAGCCCUGGGAAACUGGGAUUAAUACCGCAUAGUAUCGAAAGAUUAAAGCAGCAAUGCGCUUGGGGAUGGGCUCGCGGCCUAUUAGUUAGUUGGUGAGGUAACGGCUCACCAAGGCGAUGACGGGGUAGCCGGUCUGAGAGGAUGUCCGGCCACACUGGAACUGAGACACGGUCCAGACACCUACGGGUGGCAGCAGUCGAGAAUCAUUCACAAUGGGGGAAACCCUGACGGUGCGACGCCGCGUGGGGGAAUGAAGGUCUUCGGAUUGUAAACCCCUGUCAUGUGGGAGCAAAUUAAAAAGAUAGUACCACAAGAGGAAGAGACGGCUAACUCUGUGCCAGCAGCCGCGGUAAUACAGAGGUCUCAAGCGUUGUUCGGAAUCACUGGGCGUAAAGCGUGCGUAGGCUGUUUCGUAAGUCGUGUGUGAAAGGCGCGGGCUCAACCCGCGGACGGCACAUGAUACUGCGAGACUAGAGUAAUGGAGGGGGAACCGGAAUUCUCGGUGUAGCAGUGAAAUGCGUAGAUAUCGAGAGGAACACUCGUGGCGAAGGCGGGUUCCUGGACAUUAACUGACGCUGAGGCACGAAGGCCAGGGGAGCGAAA